GAUGAACGCUGGCGGCGUGCCUAAUACAUGCAAGUCGAGCGAACGGACGAGAAGCUUGCUGCUCUGAUGUUAGCGGCGGACGGGUGAGUAACACGUGGAUAACCUACCUAUAAGACUGGGAUAACUUCGGGAAACCGGAGCUAAUACCGGAUAAUAUUUUGAACCGCAUGGUUCAAAAGUGAAAGACGGUCUUGCUGUCACUUAUAGAUGGAUCCGCGCUGCAUUAGCUAGUUGGUAAGGUAACGGCUUACCAAGGCAACGAUGCAUAGCCGACCUGAGAGGGUGGUCGCCCACACUGGAACUGAGACACGGUCCAGACUCCUACGGGAGGCAGCAGUAGGGAAUCUUACGCAAUGGGCGAAAGCCUGACGGAGCAACGCCGCGUGAGUGAUGAAGGUCUUCGGAUCGUAAAACUCUGUUAUUAGGGAAGAACAAAUGUGUAAGUAACUGUGCACAUCUUGACGGUACCUAAUCAGAAAGCCACGGCUAACUACGUG
This 497-nucleotide ribosomal RNA is filed under the name uncultured bacterium. RNAcentral describes it as "partial 16S ribosomal RNA". It matches the Rfam family "Bacterial small subunit ribosomal RNA", at positions 28 to 507 of the family's 1533-position model. The record is from RNAcentral.